GAUGAACGCUGGCGGCGUGCUUAACACAUGCAAGUCGAACGGAAAGGCCCAAGCUUGCUUGGGUACUCGAGUGGCGAACGGGUGAGUAACACGUGGGUGAUCUGCCCUGCACUUCGGGAUAAGCCUGGGAAACUGGGUCUAAUACCGGAGAGGACGAUGGUUUGGAUGCCAUUGUGGAAAGUUUUUUCGGUGUGGGAUGAGCUCGCGGCCUAUCAGCUUGUUGGUGGGGUAAUGGCCUACCAAGGCGUCGACGGGUAGCCGGCCUGAGAGGGUGUACGGCCACAUUGGGACUGAGAUACGGGCCAGACUCCUAAGGGAGGCAGCAGUGGGGAAUAUUGCACAAUGGGCGCAAGCCUGAGGCAGCGACGCCGCGUGGGGGAUGACGGCCUUAGGGUUGUAAACUCCUUUCGCUAGGGACGAAGCGUUUUUGUGACGGUACCUGGAGAAGAAGCACCGGCUAACUACGUG
Molecule: ribosomal RNA, 468 nt
Filed under: uncultured bacterium
Lineage: Bacteria
Description: partial 16S ribosomal RNA
Rfam family: Bacterial small subunit ribosomal RNA
Source: RNAcentral